AGAACGAACGCUGGCGGCAGGCUUAACACAUGCAAGUCGAACGCGUGUAGCAAUACACGAGUGGCGCACGGGUGAGUAACGCGUGGAUAUCUGCCUUUUGGUUCGGAAUAACCCCGGGAAACUGGGGCUAAUACCGGAUGGUUCCUACGGGAUAAAGAUUUAUCGCCAAAAGAUGAGUCCGCGUCCGAUUAGCUAGUUGGUGGGGUAAUGGCCUACCAAGGCGACGAUCGGUAGCUGGUCUGAGAGGACGAUCAGCCACACUGGGACUGAGACACGGCCCAGACUCCUACGGGAGGCAGCAGUGGGGAAUAUUGGACAAUGGGGGCAACCCUGAUCCAGCCACGCCGCGUGAGUGAUGAAGGCCUUCGGGUUGUAAAGCUCUUUUGGCGGGACGAUGAUGACGGUACCGCAGAAUAAGCCCCGGCUAACUUCGCGCCAGCAGCCGC
This 446-nucleotide ribosomal RNA is filed under the name uncultured bacterium. RNAcentral's name for it is "SSU rRNA". It matches the Rfam family "Bacterial small subunit ribosomal RNA", at positions 26 to 518 of the family's 1533-position model. The record is from RNAcentral.